UCGGUGAGGCGGAUGACGUGC
RNAcentral lists this unclassified non-coding RNA (21 nucleotides) under Chlamydomonas reinhardtii. Its description in RNAcentral is "small RNA Cre_2724". Lineage: Eukaryota; Viridiplantae; Chlorophyta; Chlorophyceae; Chlamydomonadales; Chlamydomonadaceae. The record is from RNAcentral.